RNAcentral lists this ribosomal RNA (514 nucleotides) under uncultured bacterium. RNAcentral's name for it is "bacterial SSU rRNA". It matches the Rfam family "Bacterial small subunit ribosomal RNA", at positions 15 to 518 of the family's 1533-position model. The record is from RNAcentral.
GAUUCUGGCUCAGGAUGAACGCUAGCUACAGGCUUAACACAUGCAAGUCGAGGGGCAGCAUGAAGUUUGCUUGCAAACUUGAUGGCGACCGGCGCACGGGUGAGUAACGCGUAUCCAACCUUCCCUAUACUAGAGGAUAGCCCGGCGAAAGUCGGAUUAAUACUCUAUGUUCUUCGUAGAAGACAUCUGAAAUGAAGCAAAGGUUUACCGGUAUAGGAUGGGGAUGCGUCUGAUUAGGUUGUUGGCGGGGUAACGGCCCACCAAGCCUACGAUCAGUAGGGGUUCUGAGAGGAAGGUCCCCCACAUUGGAACUGAGACACGGUCCAAACUCCUACGGGAGGCAGCAGUGAGGAAUAUUGGUCAAUGGACGAGAGUCUGAACCAGCCAAGUAAGCGUGCAGGAUGACGGCCCUAUGGGUUGUAAACUGCUUUUAUACAGGGAUAAAGUGACGUACGUGUACGUUUUUGUAGGUACUGUAUGAAUAAGGACCGGCUAAUUCCGUGCCAGCCGCGGC